CCUGGCUCAGAGCGAACGCUGGCGGCAGGCUUAACACAUGCAAGUCGAACGGGCUUCUUCGGAAGUCAGUGGCAGACGGGUGAGUAACAACGUGGGAACGUGCCCUUCGGUUCGGAAUAACUCAGGGAAACUUGAGCUAAUACCGGAUACGCCCUUAUGGGGAAAGGUUUACUGCCGAAGGAUCGGCCCGCGUCUGGUUAGCUUGUUGGUGGGGUAACGGCCUACCAAGGCGACGAUCAGUAGCUGGUCUGAGAGGAUGAUCAGCCACACUGGGACUGAGACACGGCCCAGACUCCUACGGGAGGCAGCAGAAGGG
Molecule: ribosomal RNA, 316 nt
Filed under: uncultured Methylobacterium sp.
Lineage: Bacteria; Pseudomonadati; Pseudomonadota; Alphaproteobacteria; Hyphomicrobiales; Methylobacteriaceae
Description: bacterial SSU rRNA
Rfam family: Bacterial small subunit ribosomal RNA
Source: RNAcentral